RNAcentral lists this ribosomal RNA (19 nucleotides) under Phalloceros caudimaculatus (dusky millions fish). RNAcentral's name for it is "partial 16S ribosomal RNA". The record is from RNAcentral. Lineage: Eukaryota; Metazoa; Chordata; Actinopteri; Cyprinodontiformes; Poeciliidae.
AACCCAGCAGCUAGCCCCC